Molecule: transfer RNA, 76 nt
Filed under: Candidatus Roizmanbacteria bacterium CG_4_10_14_0_8_um_filter_39_9
Lineage: Bacteria; Candidatus Roizmaniibacteriota
Also listed under: 1 other name
Description: tRNA-Val
Rfam family: tRNA
About the family: Transfer RNA (tRNA) molecules are approximately 80 nucleotides in length. Their secondary structure includes four short double-helical elements and three loops (D, anti-codon, and T loops).
Source: RNAcentral
GGACGCUUAGCUCAGUUGGUAGAGCGUUGCGUUUACAUCGCAAAUGUCGGGGGUUCGAGCCCCUCAGCGUCCACCA